This 558-nucleotide ribosomal RNA is filed under the name uncultured archaeon. RNAcentral's name for it is "bacterial SSU rRNA". It matches the Rfam family "Archaeal small subunit ribosomal RNA", at positions 326 to 888 of the family's 1478-position model. The record is from RNAcentral.
CGGGGUGCAGCAGGCGCGAAAACUUUGCAAUGCGGGAAACCGUGACAAGGGAACUCUGAGUGCCCGUUAAAUCGGGCUGUCCAUCGGUUUAAAUAACCGGUGAAGAAAGGGCCGGGCAAGACCGGUGCCAGCCGCCGCGGUAAUACCGGCGGCUCGAGUGGUGGCCACUAUUACUGGGCUUAAAGCGUUCGUAGCUGGUUUGUUAAGUCUCUGGGGAAAUCUUCCGGCUUAACCGGAAGGCGUCUCAGGGAUACUGGCAGACUAGGGACCGGGAGAGGUGAGAGGUACUCCAGGGGUAGGAGUGAAAUCCUGUAAUCCUUGGGGGACCACCUGUGGCGAAGGCGUCUCACCAGAACGGCUCCGACAGUGAGGGACGAAAGCUGGGGGAGCAAACCGGAUUAGAUACCCGGGUAGUCCCAGCUGUAAACGAUGCGCGUUAGGUGUAUCGGUGACCACGAGUCAUCGAGGUGCCGAAGAGAAAUCGCGAAACGUGCCGCCUGGGAAGUACGGUCGCAAGGCUGAAACUUAAAGGAAUUGGCGGGGGAGCACAAGGGCGAA